Long non-coding RNA from Eptesicus fuscus (big brown bat), 352 nucleotides. RefSeq lists it as uncharacterized. The record is from RefSeq and is a predicted model, not a curated record. NCBI's taxonomy places the organism in Eukaryota, Metazoa, Chordata, Mammalia, Chiroptera, Vespertilionidae. The transcript is spliced from 3 exons.
GGAAAGAUAAGAGUUUUUCAUUGUAGCUUAGAACACUAGAAAUUUUUUGCUGGAAGUUAGAGAGAUCGGGACAUCUGUGCAGCUGGAAGAGAUAAACAAACGAGCCCUCCCCUCACAUCUCAUGCCGAUAUUUAUAAAAAGUGCAACAGUUAACAAAAGUGCUUUGUGAAUGAGGAGUCAUUAUGUCCCAUAGAGCAGCCCAUGCUUUCCAGGUCCAAGCUGUAUGGCUGACACCAUUCCGCUCUGUGACCUAAAAGAGUGCCACAGAACAGCUUCCUGCCAAAGGGAGACAGGGCUCACUGUUUUUCCAGAGCACAAUUUAUGUCAACGCCUCUGUAAAAUAUGUGCAAUA